UUGGGUGAAUAUGUAUUUUAUAUUAAAUUACAGAUGCGAAGAGCUAACAUUCCAAUUCAAUUGUGAAGGGCGACCAGAUUUAUAUCUCUGAACGAUGGCGUACUUUCGUUACGUCUAUGGUAGUAUUCGGUUUCAAAACAGUGUAAAUGUAGGUGUAUGCUGAAGGGUGGUUUGGGGUAGGGCCUGGUGGGUGGAGGUGCUUUGAGGAUACCUUGUAGGUAUAGAAAUUAAUAAAAUGGCGAGGGAUGGCGAUAACUCUAAUGAAGUAUUUUCGAAUAUUAAUGAACGUCCUGUAGAUGAUAUUUCCCUUGAAUUUUUCUAUAAACCUCACACCAUAACGUUGCUUACUGUGUCAAUCGCUGCUGUAAUAUAUUCUGCAUUUACACGAGAUGAACAAGACAUGCAGAAUAACAUAAGAGCAGGGAUCUUGUGUGUUAUAUUCUUUUUCCUGAUAAUUUCCGUUUUGGCAUUCCCAAAUGGACCAUUUACAAGACCUCAUCCAGCUGUGUGGCGGAUGGUAUUUGGAAUGAGUGUGCUCUAUCUCCUUGCUCUACUGUUUAUAUUAUUUCAGAGUUACAAGACUGUAAAAUCAAUAAUUUUAUGGAUUGACCCUUCCUUAAAAGAUUUUCACAUAGACAUGGACAAGGAAUAUGGUGUUAAUUGCACGGAUGUAACAGUCGAGAGAAUAUGGAGUCACAUUGAUGUUUUUGCAGUGGGUCAUUAUUUCGGAUGGAUGUUCAAGGCUAUUCUUGUUAGACACCUUGGCAUUUUGUGGGCUAUUAGUGUUAUGUGGGAAUUUACUGAGAUAGCAUUUGCUCAUCUUCUACCAAACUUUAUUGAAUGCUGGUGGGAUGCUCUAAUAUUAGAUGUACUUGUGUGCAAUGGAUUGGGAAUUUGGUGUGGCUUGAAAAUUUGCAAGUAUCUGGAGAUGAGAGAGUAUAAAUGGGUUAGCAUAAGGGAUAUUCGAACAACUUCAGGGAAAAUAAAGCGUGCAGUUUUACAGUUCACACCUGGGAGUUGGAUGCAAGUUAGAUGGUUGGAUCCAUCGUGUACUUACAUGCGCUUUUUUGCUCUUUGCCAGCUUGUCAUUUUUUGGCAAGUCUCAGAGCUCAACACAUUUUUCCUUAAACACAUUUUUGAAAUGCCACCAUCCCACCCGAUUGUGGUUGUUCGACUCGUUCUUAUUGGUGUCUUUGUUGCACCAUCUGUUAGACAGUAUUAUAGUUACGUUACAAAUCCAUUGUGCAAACGUGUGGGAACACAGUGUUGGGUAUAUGGUGCUAUAAUGGUAACUGAGGCCAUUUUGUGCAUAAAGAAUGGCAAAGAGCUGUUUGAACGCACACAGGCAUUUAAUAUUGUCUUAUGGCUUCUACUGCAGCUGCUAACUUCUAUACUUUGCGUAUAUGGCUGUGUUCUGUGGCAUCGCUACAUACAGAAGGAAGAUGAAAUGUCAAGAGAAUCAUCUCCUUGCAAAACACCAGAUUCUGGGUUUGUUGACCAGAAGUCUCACACAGAUGGUAUGACAUCAGAAUUAAUAGUUGAUGCCCUAUCACUUUAGAAGAUGCAUCUGCUGUUGAGCUUUGCUGUCAGUAGGUCUAGGAGAUUGUUGCAGUGGUUGACUUCAUGUUUCAUGCUUGGAGUAACAACUGUAAUCAACAGAUGUGCAUUCAACCUGUCAGUUGUGUGAAGGAAGUAUUAAGUAGUGGGCAUGGAGUCACAGUGUGUCAAUGUUGUCAUUAAUUACAAUGUAGCAACAUCUCUAAAUCAGGUGCUCAAGACAUGCUCCUGACUCUUUGGAAGAAGAGAAAAGUGUGUGCAAAGUUUAUCCCACACACCUUGACUUGUGAACAAAAAUGAUGAUGCAUGGAAUCCUGCUAUGAUUUGAUUGAAAUGUAAAACAUGUGCAAUUCUUUUCUGGAAAAAAAUCAUCACUAGUGAUGAAACUUGGUGUUACCAAUAUAGACCUACCACAAAAUGACAGUGUGGAAAUCCAUGUGAAGAGUCAACACCUUGGUGACUUAACAGACAUUCAAACCAGUGUGAAAUGCAAGUCAAACAGCAUCCCAAAAAAGGUCUUUUCUGACAGUUUCACAUGGUUGUAUGAAAAUGACGUGUUUUGUGCUCAAUGGACGGAAACAGUGUAAAGCACAUGAAGCGUUAAAAUCACCAUCUUAGGUUUUUCUUAUUUCUCAUCAAUCCAGUCUUGAAUUUUUUGGACUGAGAGGAUAUGAAUAAUUUUCAUUAAACCUUAAUAUAAUUUUACUUCAGCUGUAAACUUUUUCUGUAAUACUGAUGCUACAGUAACAUGGCAUUUGGACACGUUUUUGAAAACUUCAUUUGUGUAUGGUACAGUCACAAAUACACACAUAAAAAGCAUGAAAGGGUGCAUAAGCAUUGACUAACCUUGAGCAUAGGAAUGACCACAAAUCUGAAUAAUGGCUGCCAGAUGACAAGAGUUAUUGCUUUGUUGACUGAAAUGUGUACAGAUUUUCUUCCAAUCUAGGAAGCAUUUUGGCUUCUGCAGACGUAUUGGUAAAUUUUACCAUAAGGGAAAUUCCAUUCAGAAACUUAAUAGAUUCACAGAGUCAGCUCAGUAC
RNA transcript from Schistocerca cancellata (South American locust), 2597 nucleotides. It is a transcript of the gene named phosphatidylserine synthase, with no coding region annotated. Lineage: Eukaryota; Metazoa; Arthropoda; Insecta; Orthoptera; Acrididae. The transcript is spliced from 9 exons. The record is from RefSeq and is a predicted model, not a curated record.